UGCUUAAAGCAGGCAUAUGCCUUGAAUACUCCAGCAUGGAAUAAUAUUAAAGAUUUUUAUCUUUUUUAUUGGUUCUAAAAUAAAAAUAAUGAUUAAUAGGGACAGUUGGGGGCAUUUGUAUUUAACAGUCAAAGGUGAAAUUCUUAGAUUUGUUAAAGACAAACUAAUGCGAAAGCAUUUGCCAAGGAUGUUUUCAUUAAUCAAGAACGAAAGUUAGGGGAUCGAAGACGAUCAGAUACCGUCGUAGUCUUAACCAUAAACUAUGCCAACUAGAGAUUGGAGGUU
RNAcentral lists this ribosomal RNA (285 nucleotides) under Cryptosporidium hominis. RNAcentral describes it as "partial small subunit ribosomal RNA". It matches the Rfam family "Eukaryotic small subunit ribosomal RNA", at positions 772 to 1061 of the family's 1831-position model. Lineage: Eukaryota; Apicomplexa; Conoidasida; Eucoccidiorida; Cryptosporidiidae. The record is from RNAcentral.